Molecule: small RNA, 573 nt
Filed under: Histoplasma ohiense
Lineage: Eukaryota; Fungi; Ascomycota; Eurotiomycetes; Onygenales; Ajellomycetaceae
Description: hypothetical lncRNA
Source: RNAcentral
GAUGAUUAUAUAAUAUAUAUCUAGAUAUCAAUCUGAUGAUAUGAUUGAUGGAGAUAUUACCUCUAUCUACCAGCUACUUGCUGCCAAUCUUGCUAAGCUCUCCCUCGCUGCUAAGCUCUCCCUCGCUACUAAGCUAUCUAUCGCUGCUAAUCUAUCACUGCUAAUCUAUCGCUGCUAAUCUAUCGCUGCCAACCUAUCUACCGCGGCGAAUCUAUCUAUCGCUGCCAAUUUAUCUACCACUGCCAAUCUAUCUAUCGCUGCUAAUAUAUCGCUGCUGCCAACCUAUCUAUCACUGCUAAUCUAUCGCUGCUAAUCUAUCGCUGCCAACCUAUCUACUGCAGUGAAUCUAUCUAUCACUAUCAUUAUUAGUUCAAAAUAGAACUAGAGCAUAAACACACUAAACUUAUUUUGAUAGAUAAUGAUUUUUGGUAACACUCAUAGCAUUAUAUCAUCUAUAUAGGGUAAAUCAUGGUCCCAUCAGAAUCAGUAAUUUAUAAGAAGAACAUGACCUGGGACUAGAUUUAUAAUAUAAACAGUGUAAAGUGACUAAUUUAAUAAACACUAUAUGGGACC